RNAcentral lists this ribosomal RNA (439 nucleotides) under uncultured bacterium. Its description in RNAcentral is "partial 16S ribosomal RNA". It matches the Rfam family "Bacterial small subunit ribosomal RNA", at positions 339 to 795 of the family's 1533-position model. The record is from RNAcentral.
CUACGGGUCGCUCCAGUGAGGAAUAUUGCACAAUGGGGGGAACCCUGAUGCAGCAACGCCGCGUGGAGGAUGACGCAUUUCGGUGUGUAAACUCCUUUUAUAUGUCAAGAAAAUGACGGUAGCAUAUGAAUAAGCACCGGCUAACUCCGUGCCAGCAGCCGCGGUAAUACGGAGGGUGCAAGCGUUACUCGGAAUCACUGGGCGUAAAGGACGCGUAGGCGGGUUGGAAAGUCAGGUGUGAAAUCCUACAGCUUAACUGUAGAACUGCACUUGAAACUUCUAAUCUAGAGUAUGGGAGGGGGAGAUGGAAUUAGUGGUGUAGGGGUAAAAUCCGUAGAUAUCACUAGGAAUACCUAAAGCGAAGGCGAUCUCCUGGAACACUACUGACGCUAAGGCGUGGAAGCGUGGGGAGCAAACAGGAUUAGAUACCCCUGUAGUC